Molecule: ribosomal RNA, 36 nt
Filed under: Acarapis externus
Lineage: Eukaryota; Metazoa; Arthropoda; Arachnida; Trombidiformes; Tarsonemidae
Description: partial 28S ribosomal RNA
Source: RNAcentral
AGUCAGAUGAGAUUACCCGCUGAACUUAAGCAUAUA